This 611-nucleotide ribosomal RNA is filed under the name uncultured Enterococcus sp. Its description in RNAcentral is "bacterial SSU rRNA". It matches the Rfam family "Bacterial small subunit ribosomal RNA", at positions 355 to 957 of the family's 1533-position model. The record is from RNAcentral. Lineage: Bacteria; Bacillati; Bacillota; Bacilli; Lactobacillales; Enterococcaceae.
UAGGGAAUCUUCGGCAAUGGACGAAAGUCUGACCGAGCAACGCCGCGUGAGUGAAGAAGGUUUUCGGAUCGUAAAACUCUGUUGUUAGAGAAGAACAAGGAUGAGAGUAACUGUUCAUCCCUUGACGGUAUCUGACCAGAAAGCCACGGCUAACUACGUGCCAGCAGCCGCGGUAAUACGUAGGUGGCAAGCGUUGUCCGGAUUUAUUGGGCGUAAAGCGAGCGCAGGCGGUUUCUUAAGUCUGAUGUGAAAGCCCCCGGCUCAACCGGGGAGGGUCAUUGGAAACUGGGAGACUUGAGUGCAGAAGAGGAGAGUGGAAUUCCAUGUGUAGCGGUGAAAUGCGUAGAUAUAUGGAGGAACACCAGUGGCGAAGGCGGCUCUCUGGUCUGUAACUGACGCUGAGGCUCGAAAGCGUGGGGAGCAAACAGGAUUAGAUACCCUGGUAGUCCACGCCGUAAACGAUGAGUGCUAAGUGUUGGAGGGUUUCCGCCCUUCAGUGCUGCAGCUAACGCAUUAAGCACUCCGCCUGGGGAGUACGACCGCAAGGUUGAAACUCAAAGGAAUUGACGGGGGCCCGCACAAGCGGUGGAGCAUGUGGUUUAAUUCGAAGC